This 510-nucleotide long non-coding RNA is filed under the name Equus caballus (horse). RNAcentral describes it as "lncRNA (ENSECAG00000048209.1)". The record is from RNAcentral. Lineage: Eukaryota; Metazoa; Chordata; Mammalia; Perissodactyla; Equidae.
GCAGUGUCUCAAAAGGCAGAUGCAGUAAGUUUUCUCGCAGGAUGCAGUGCCCAUGAAGGUGGAUGCCGUGAACCUGCAGUGGUUGCAGUGCCCCCUACAGUUUCCCUGGACGUGGCUGCAGUGCCCAUGCAAUGGCUGCAGUGUCACUGAAGGUAUAUGCAGUAUGUUGUGUUGGAGGAAGCAGUGGCCAUGAAGCUGGAUGCAGUGAUCCUGCAGUGGUUGCAGUGCCCCCUGCAGGGUCCCUGAAUGAGAAUGCCGUGCCCUUGUAUUGGAUUCAGUGCCCCACAUGGUGGAUGCAGUAUGUUAUGACAGAUGAUGUAUUGCACAUGAACGAUGAUGCAGUGAUUCUGCAGUGAUAGCAGUGCACCUGCAGUGUCACUUCAGCUGACUGCAGUGCACCUGCAGUGGUUGCAGUGCCCCCUUCUGUGUCUCUGAAUACGAAUGCAGUGCGCAUGCUUUGGAUGCAGAGUACCAAAAGAUGGAUGUGGUAUGCUGUGACAGAGGAUGCAG